AAGACUAUAGACCUGCGGAGUACCUGCGGAAGGAUCAUUAUCGAGUUUUGAAGUGGGCUGCUUGAGCUGGCACGCAGGUGCUCGGCGGCUCCGCUCUCAUCCACUCAACCCCUGUGCACCUUGAACGAGUGUGGGUCUGGUCUAGUAUUGGAUCGCCUCGUUUCUUACAAACUCUUAUUAUUGUUUUUGUAAUGCAUUGCCUCUUUGUGGGCGAAAUGUUAAUACAACUUUCAACAACGG
This 240-nucleotide unclassified non-coding RNA is filed under the name soil metagenome. RNAcentral's name for it is "partial contains 5.8S ribosomal RNA, internal transcribed spacer 2, and large subunit ribosomal RNA". The record is from RNAcentral.